GGGUCCCUACGGGGCGCAGCAGUAGGGAAUCUUCCACAAUGGACGAAAGUCUGAUGGAGCAACGCCGCGUGAGUGAAGAAGGGUUUCGGCUCGUAAAGCUCUGUUGGUAGUGAAGAAAGAUAGAGGUAGUAACUGGCCUUUAUUUGACUGUAAUUACUUAGAAAGUCACGGCUAACUACGUGCCCGCAGCCGCGGUAAUACGUCGGUGGUAAGCGUUGUCCGGAUUUAUUGGGCGUAAA
RNAcentral lists this ribosomal RNA (239 nucleotides) under uncultured bacterium. RNAcentral's name for it is "partial 16S ribosomal RNA". It matches the Rfam family "Bacterial small subunit ribosomal RNA", at positions 333 to 564 of the family's 1533-position model. The record is from RNAcentral.